RNAcentral lists this ribosomal RNA (2459 nucleotides) under Salmonella enterica. RNAcentral describes it as "partial 23S ribosomal RNA". It matches the Rfam family "Bacterial large subunit ribosomal RNA". The record is from RNAcentral. Lineage: Bacteria; Pseudomonadati; Pseudomonadota; Gammaproteobacteria; Enterobacterales; Enterobacteriaceae.
GCCAGUGGUGAACUCCACAUACGCAUCCUUUGCUGAGGAUACGGUUAACGGAGCGAAAGCGACGUUCAACCGCAAAAGAAGCAGAGGGGGCUUAGUGGUGGGGUGACUGCGUACCUUUUGUAUAAUGGGUCAGCGACUUAUAUUCUGUAGCAAGGUUAACCGAAUAGGGGAGCCGGAGGGAAACCGAGUCUUAACCGGGCGUUAAGUUGCAGGGUAUAGACCCGAAACCCGGUGAUCUAGCCAUGGGCAGGUUGAAGGUUGGGUAACACUAACUGGAGGACCGAACCGACUAAUGUUGAAAAAUUAGCGGAUGACCUGUGGCUGGGGGUGAAAGGCCAAUCAAACCGGGAGAUAGCUGGUUCUCCCCGAAAGCUAUUUAGGUAGCGCCUCGUGAACUCAUCUCCGGGGGUAGAGCACUGUUUCGGCUAGGGGGCCAUCCCGGCUUACCAACCCGAUGCAAACUGCGAAUACCGGAGAAUGUUAUCACGGGAGACACACGGCGGGUGCUAACGUCCGUCGUGAAGAGGGAAACAACCCAGACCGCCAGCUAAGGUCCCAAAGUCAUGGUUAAGUGGGAAACGAUGUGGGAAGGCCCAGACAGCCAGGAUGUUGGCUUAGAAGCAGCCAUCAUUUAAAGAAAGCGUAAUAGCUCACUGGUCGAGUCGGCCUGCGCGGAAGAUGUAACGGGGCUAAACCAUGCACCGAAGCUGCGGCAGCGACACUCAGGUGUUGUUGGGUAGGGGAGCGUUCUGUAAGCCUGCGAAGGUGGCCUGUGAGGGUUGCUGGAGGUAUCAGAAGUGCGAAUGCUGACAUAAGUAACGAUAAAGCGGGUGAAAAGCCCGCUCGCCGGAAGACCAAGGGUUCCUGUCCAACGUUAAUCGGGGCAGGGUGAGUCGACCCCUAAGGCGAGGCCGAAAGGCGUAGUCGAUGGGAAACGGGUUAAUAUUCCCGUACUUGGUGUUACUGCGAAGGGGGGACGGAGAAGGCUAUGUUGGCCGGGCGACGGUUGUCCCGGUUUAAGCGUGUAGGUGUGUGUUCCAGGUAAAUCCGGUUCACUUUAACACUGAGGCGUGAUGACGAGGCACUACGGUGCUGAAGCAACAAAUGCCCUGCUUCCAGGAAAAGCCUCUAAGCAUCAGGUAACAUCAAAUCGUACCCCAAACCGACACAGGUGGUCAGGUAGAGAAUACCAAGGCGCUUGAGAGAACUCGGGUGAAGGAACUAGGCAAAAUGGUGCCGUAACUUCGGGAGAAGGCACGCUGACACGUAGGUGAAGUGAUUUACUCAUGGAGCUGAAGUCAGUCGAAGAUACCAGCUGGCUGCAACUGUUUAUUAAAAACACAGCACUGUGCAAACACGAAAGUGGACGUAUACGGUGUGACGCCUGCCCGGUGCCGGAAGGUUAAUUGAUGGGGUCAGCGCAAGCGAAGCUCCUGAUCGAAGCCCCGGUAAACGGCGGCCGUAACUAUAACGGUCCUAAGGUAGCGAAAUUCCUUGUCGGGUAAGUUCCGACCUGCACGAAUGGCGUAAUGAUGGCCAGGCUGUCUCCACCCGAGACUCAGUGAAAUUGAACUCGCUGUGAAGAUGCAGUGUACCCGCGGCAAGACGGAAAGACCCCGUGAACCUUUACUAUAGCUUGACACUGAACAUUGAGCCUUGAUGUGUAGGAUAGGUGGGAGGCUUUGAAGUGUGGACGCCAGUCUGCAUGGAGCCGGCCUUGAAAUACCACCCUUUAAUGUUUGAUGUUCUAACGUGGACCCGUGAUCCGGGUUGCGGACAGUGUCUGGUGGGUAGUUUGACUGGGGCGGUCUCCUCCUAAAGAGUAACGGAGGAGCACGAAGGUUGGCUAAUCCUGGUCGGACAUCAGGAGGUUAGUGCAAUGGCAUAAGCCAGCUUGACUGCGAGCGUGACGGCGCGAGCAGGUGCGAAAGCAGGUCAUAGUGAUCCGGUGGUUCUGAAUGGAAGGGCCAUCGCUCAACGGAUAAAAGGUACUCCGGGGAUAACAGGCUGAUACCGCCCAAGAGUUCAUAUCGACGGCGGUGUUUGGCACCUCGAUGUCGGCUCAUCACAUCCUGGGGCUGAAGUAGGUCCCAAGGGUAUGGCUGUUCGCCAUUUAAAGUGGUACGCGAGCUGGGUUUAGAACGUCGUGAGACAGUUCGGUCCCUAUCUGCCGUGGGCGCUGGAGAACUGAGGGGGGCUGCUCCUAGUACGAGAGGACCGGAGUGGACGCAUCACUGGUGUUCGGGUUGUCAUGCCAAUGGCACUGCCCGGUAGCUAAAUGCGGAAGAGAUAAGUGCUGAAAGCAUCUAAGCACGAAACUUGCCCCGAGAUGAGUUCUCCCUGAGACUUUAGGUCUCCUGAAGGAACGUUGAAGACGACGACGUUGAUAGGCCGGGUGUGUAAGCGCAGCGAUGCGUUGAGCUAACCGGUACUAAUGAACCGUGAGGCUUAACCUUACA